This 253-nucleotide ribosomal RNA is filed under the name uncultured bacterium. RNAcentral describes it as "partial 16S ribosomal RNA". It matches the Rfam family "Bacterial small subunit ribosomal RNA", at positions 524 to 776 of the family's 1533-position model. The record is from RNAcentral.
UACGUAGGGGGCUAGCGUUGUCCGGAAUCAUUGGGCGUAAAGCGCGUGUAGGCGGUCCGGUAAGUCCGCUGUGAAAGUCGGGGGCUCAACCCUCGAAUGCCGGUGGAUACUGUCGGGCUAGAGUGCGGAAGAGGCGAGUGGAAUUCCUGGUGUAGCGGUGAAAUGCGCAGAUAUCAGGAAGAACACCCGUGGCGAAGGCGGCUCUCUGGGACGGUACUGACGCUGAGACGCGAAAGCGUGGGGAGCGAACAGG